Molecule: long non-coding RNA, 830 nt
Filed under: Rattus norvegicus (Norway rat)
Lineage: Eukaryota; Metazoa; Chordata; Mammalia; Rodentia; Muridae
Description: long non-coding RNA NONRATT003107
Source: RNAcentral
CAUCCCAGCCUUGGAUUCAUUAAAGCCUGCUAAUGAAGAUUAGAAGAUAGGUAUAGAAAUUAUUAAAAGAGCACUUAAAAUUCCUGCAAUGACGAUUGCUAAGACUGCAGGUUGUUGAAGGAUCUUUGAGAGUUCAAAAAAUUCUGCAGAGCUCCUCAGAAGUUGGUUAUGAUGCCAUGCUUGGAGAUUUUGUGAACAUGGUGAGAAAGGGAAUCAUUGAUCCAACAAAGGUUGUAAGAACUGCUUUACUGGAUGCUCCUGGGGUGGCCUCCUUGCUAUCUACAGCCGAAGCUGUAGUGACAGAAAUUCCUAAAGAAGAGAAAGACCCUGGAAUGGGUGCAAUGGGUGGGAUGGGAGGGGGUGUGGGAGGUGGCAUGUUCUAAGUCCUAGAAUAGUGCUUUGCCCUUAUCAAUGAACUGUGACAGGAAGCUCAAGGCAGGUUCCUCACCAAUAACUUCAGAGAAGUCACCUGAAGAAAAUGACUGAAGAGACGGCUGGCUGAUCACUGUAACCAUCAGUGACUGGUUUCCUUUAACAGUACAUAAUGGUUUACUGCUGUCAUUGUCCAUGCCUACAGAUAAUUUAUUUUGUAUUUUUGAAUAAAGACAUUUGUACAUCCCUGAUGCUGGGUGCAAGAGCCAUAUACCAGUGUCCUGCUUUCAACUUAAAUCACUGAGGCAUCUCCACUGUUAGCAUCAGGACUGUAGCGCUGUGUCACCACAUGAGAAGUUCGGAAGCAGCCUUUCUGUGGAGGGUGAGAAUGAUUGUGUACAGAGUAGAGAAGUAUACAAUUAUGUGACAACCUUUGUGUAAUAAAAUUUUGUUUAAAG